This 460-nucleotide ribosomal RNA is filed under the name uncultured bacterium. RNAcentral describes it as "partial 16S ribosomal RNA". It matches the Rfam family "Bacterial small subunit ribosomal RNA", at positions 338 to 795 of the family's 1533-position model. The record is from RNAcentral.
CCUACGGGAGGCUGCAGUGAGGAAUAUUGGUCAAUGGCCGUAAGGCUGAACCAGCCAAGUAGCGUGAGGGAAGACUGCCCUAUGGGUUGUAAACCUCUUUUAUGCGGGGAUAAAGGUGUCCACGUGUGGAUGUUUGCAGGUACCGCAUGAAUAAGGACCGGCUAAUUCCGUGCCAGCAGCCGCGGUAAUACGGAAGGUCCGGGCGUUAUCCGGAUUUAUUGGGUUUAAAGGGAGCGUAGAUGGGUUGUUAAGUCAGUUGUGAAAGUUUGCGGCUCAACCGUAAAAUUGCAAUUGAUACUGGCGGUCUUGAGUACAGUAGAGGUAGGCGGAAUUCGUGGUGUAGCGGUGGAAUGCUUAGAUAUCACGAAGAACUCCGAUUGCGAAGGCAGCUUACUAAACUGCCACUGACAUUGAUGCUCGAAAGUGUGGGUAUCGAACAGGAUUAGAUACCCGAGUAGUC